Molecule: ribosomal RNA, 364 nt
Filed under: uncultured bacterium
Lineage: Bacteria
Description: bacterial SSU rRNA
Rfam family: Bacterial small subunit ribosomal RNA
Source: RNAcentral
ACCAGACUCCUACGGGAGGCAGCAGUGAGGAAUAUUGGUCAAUGGGCGAGAGCCUGAACCAGCCAAGUCGCGUGAGGGAGGACGGCCCUACGGGUUGUAAACCUCUUUUGCCGGGGGACAAACGGCGGCACGCGUGCCGUCCUGAGGGUACCCGGAGAAAAAGCAUCGGCUAACUCCGUGCCAGCAGCCGCGGUAAUACGGAGGAUGCGAGCGUUAUCCGGAUUUAUUGGGUUUAAAGGGUGCGCAGGCGGCCUAGUAAGUCGGCGGUGAAACCGCGGGGCCCACCCCCGGGCCGCCGUUGAAACUGGCAGUCUCGAGUUGGAGAGAAGUAUGCGGAAUGCGCGGUGUAGCGGUGAAAUGCAUA